This 707-nucleotide ribosomal RNA is filed under the name uncultured Methanomicrobiales archaeon. RNAcentral describes it as "bacterial SSU rRNA". It matches the Rfam family "Archaeal small subunit ribosomal RNA", at positions 146 to 859 of the family's 1478-position model. The record is from RNAcentral. Lineage: Archaea; Methanobacteriati; Methanobacteriota; Methanomicrobia; Methanomicrobiales.
AUAAUACCCCAUAGAUUAUGGAUGCUGGAAUGCUCUGUAGUUGAAAGGUCCGCCGCUUCAGGAUGGGUCUGCGGCCGAUUAGGUUGUUGUUGGGGUAACGGCCCAACAAGCCUGUAAUCGGUACGGGUUGUGGGAGCAAGAGCCCGGAGAUGGAUUCUGAGACACGAAUCCAGGCCCUACGGGGCGCAGCAGGCGCGAAAACUUUACAAUGCGAGCAAUCGUGAUAAGGGAACUCCGAGUGCCUGUAAAAUCAGGCUGUCCGCCAGUGUAAAUAACUGGUGAAGAAAGGGCCGGGCAAGACCGGUGCCAGCCGCCGCGGUAAUACCGGCGGCUCGAGUGGUGGCCACUAUUACUGGGCUUAAAGCGUUCGUAGCUGGUCUGUUAAGUCUCUGGGGAAAUCUUCCGGCUUAACCGGAAGGCGUCUCAGGGAUACUGGCAGACUAGGGACCGGAAGAGGUGAGAGGUACUCCAGGGGUAGGAGUGAAAUCCUGUAAUCCUUGGGGGACCACCUGUGGCGAAGGCGUCUCACCAGGACGGCUCCGACAGUGAGGAACGAAGCUGGGGGAGCAAACCGGAUUAGAUACCCGGGUAGUCCCAGCUGUAAACGAUGCACGUUAGGUGUAUCGGUGACCACGAGUCACCGAGGUGCCGAAGAGAAAUCGUGAAACGUGCCGCCUGGGAAGUACGGUCGCAAGGCUGAAACUUAA